This 190-nucleotide small nuclear RNA is filed under the name Dryobates pubescens (Downy woodpecker). RNAcentral describes it as "Picoides pubescens (downy woodpecker) U2 spliceosomal RNA". It matches the Rfam family "U2 spliceosomal RNA". Rfam says of the family: U2 is a small nuclear RNA (snRNA) component of the spliceosome (involved in pre-mRNA splicing). Complementary binding between U2 snRNA (in an area lying towards the 5' end but 3' to hairpin I) and the branchpoint sequence (BPS) of the intron results the bulging out of an unpaired adenosine, on the BPS, which initiates a nucleophilic attack at the intronic 5' splice site, thus starting the first of two transesterification reactions that mediate splicing. Lineage: Eukaryota; Metazoa; Chordata; Aves; Piciformes; Picidae. The record is from Rfam by way of RNAcentral.
AGCCAUUUAAGUUGACUGACUAUAGUAUCUGUAUAGUAUCUGUUCUCAUCAGUUUAAUAUCUGAUACGUCCUCGAUAAGAGGACUUUAUAUUAAACGGAUUUUUGGGCGUGGGAGUUGGAUCCGGAGCUUGCUCCCUCCGCUCCGCGCAUCGUCCUGGUAUUUUUUUUUCCCAGGCAACCAGCACCAGAA